Molecule: non-coding RNA, 38 nt
Filed under: Scrippsiella hangoei
Lineage: Eukaryota; Dinophyceae; Peridiniales; Peridiniaceae
Source: RNAcentral
GAACCGCGCGGUCAGCAGGGCAGGAAGGAAGCAGCGCG